GAUCUGCCAGCAUUGCAAAUGAGCAAGAAUUCAGUUUACAUAUGGCCCAUUGGGGAUUAUGCAUCACUCAGUCAUAAUUAUACUUAUGGUGGCCAUAUUAUAUCUAAUUUUCAUCCGGUAAAUGAUUGAAAGAUGUUAAUGCCAUGUCUAUUUGAAAUUUAAUAAACAGCUGCUCCCCGUUGUCAUCGUGACCACAUAAAUAAAGCGUGUCACAACGUGAAACGGAAGGCAGGUGCGAAAACAGGUUUCAAACAUGGCAUGUACACAGCGAGGCAACAACGAGCUGAAAAUGAAAGCAAAGAAAAUGAUGAAGGAUGCAAAAGAUCCUAUUGAAAAACUUCGCUACGCUUGUCUAGCGCGAGGGGCCAAUGGAAUAAAAGGCCUGGGCAGAACAUUCAGAAUCAUGGACGAUGACUCAGAUUUAAGUCUCAACAUUAAAGAAUUUAAAAAAGGAAUCCAUGAUUAUGGUUUGAUAAUGGAGGAUGAUGUCAUGACUUCUAUGUUUCAACAGUUAGAUAAAGAUAACAGUGGAUCCCUGUCAUUUGAUGAAUUCUUAACUGCACUUAGGCCACCCAUGAACAAUUCAAGGAAAGAACUGGUACGGAGAGCUUUCCAGAAACUAGACAAAACAGGAGAUAAUGUGGUGACAGUGCAAGAUUUACAUGGUGUGUACAACGUCAAAAAACACCCGAAAUAUAUCAGUGGAGAAUGGACGGAGGACCAGUGCCUCAAACAGUUCCUGGACUCAUUCGACUCUCCAAACGACAAAGACGGACAGGUAAACAUCUAUGCACUAUAGUGUGAAAGUAGUGGCUUCUUGAUUAGAGAUACAUGCCUGAGGAAAGGAUUUAGGAGGAAUGUUCAUGUAAAUUCAUUAUUGAAGAUUAAUUGUUGAAAUGUUCUGAGUGCUCUUACAGCUUGAUUUAAUAUGUAUUUAUCAAUUUGAGAAAGAUUCCCAAGAAACUUUCAAAAGUAAUCAAAUUUCUGUCUUGGAUUACAUUUCUUGCAAAUAUUUCAUCAAAGAAAAUGAUAUCAGUUAUUAUAGAGAUGCUGUAUACACAUGUAUAUGAUUAUAGUUGCAUGGACUACAUACAUGUAUAAGCCACUUCACCUGCAUGCAGAAACUUACUCACUGCUAUAUAUGUAUACUGUAUAGAAAUACAUCAGUUUAGUAAUCGCAUCACAUGCAGUCAGGGUCAUUAGAAAAUUAUGUAUAAGCCAAGAAGAGUGAAUUUUCAUUGAAAAUGGGUUUUUUUUUCUUGGCAGCCCAAUUGUAAGCAUUCUGUAAUACAUAUUUUUUUUUUUUUUAAAUUGUCAACUACAUUUUGUAUAACAUUAGAAGAAUACAUGCAUAUGUGAAUAUUACAUGCCAUUGUAUAUAAUCAAGAUAAAUUUGAUAGUACCCAUCAACAGUCCAAUGACUAUUUCUUUACAGUAAAUAUUCAAAUAGAUAUAAUAUUGUUAAAUUCCUAGGUGUUUCAGGGUACCUAAGUCAAUGUUAAUUUCCUAAGUGUCUUGGGAUACCUAAGUAAUAGUUAAUUUCCUAAGUGUUUCAGGGUACCUAAGUCAAAGUUAAUUUCCUAAGUGUUUCAGGGGUACCUAAGUCAAAGUUAAUUUCCUAAGUGUUUCAGGGUACCUAAGUCAAAGUUAAUUUCCUAAGUGUUUCAGGGUACCUAAGUCAAAGUUAAUUUCCUAAGUGUUUCAGGGUACCUAAGUCAAAGUUAAUUUCCCAAGUGUUUCAGGGUACCUAAGUCAAAGUUAAUUUCCUAAGUGUUUCAGGGUACCUAAGUCAAAGUUAAUUUCCUAAGCGUUUUCGGAUACCUAAAACAUUGUUAAUUUUCUAAGUGUUUCAGGGUACUUAAGUCAUUGUUAAUUUUCUAAGGGUUUCAGAGUACCUAAGUCAUUGUUAAUUUCCUAAGUGUUUUAGGAUACCUAAGACAUUGUUAAUUUUCUAAGUGUUUCAGGGUACCUAAGUCAUUGUUAAUUUCUUACAUAUUUUAAGGUAUCCUGACCAUAACAAUGCAUCUUGCACUUGGCUGAAUUUUGAGUUAUUCAAAAAGCUUGAUAAAAUCAUGUCUUGAAAUGACUUAAUAAAAUCAAAUCUGAAUUACUGGUGCAUUUGAUUGCUUAAUUUGCUUCCAAACAUUUUUGCACAGUUUUGUUUUGCUGGCCUUCUCCAAAUAGACAAGCUAUCAAGAAUGUCCAGAUACAGCAUGUAUCAUGACGAAGCCUCCCACCAAUAUGUAUUCCAACCUAAUAAUUCUGAAUCCAGAAUUAGGUUACUAGAUUUACAGAAUUAGAUCAGAUUUACAAAAUUACCUCAGCAAGCAUUUGACAAAAGUCUGCUCUAUUGCAUAACACUUAGUCCAAAUAAUGAACAAUGAAACAAAAUCCUUUAAUCUUCUUGGUGACAAUUAAUUAAUUGACAACUGUUUUAGAAAUUCUAUGUGUGCUCCUUGCCCACCUUCUAUUUUCAGUUGAAAGAGCUAGCUGAAUAAGUUUUGUCUACAUAAUUUUGUAAUAACCCUGAUAAAAUUGAAUAACAAGUAUAUUCAUGUAUCAAAUACAUGUUAAUCAUUUUCUAAGAACAUAAUAAUUCACAUACCAGUUCUUGUUGAGAGAGCUAUUAGAAAGUUAUUCCCUUCUUUUUCAGUUACAAAAAUAAAAAAAAAAUACAGAUUCUGAAAACACAAUAUUGAUGACUUUAUACACAGUUGUUUAAACUAGGUGUACAUUACACACUAUGUUCAGCCAUAGAGAUUAUAAUAAAAGCCAAUCUUAAACAUAGAUAAAUGAUAAUUACAUGAAUUUUUAUGACAUGUACACAUACAUUUUAGACCAUGCAAUAAAAUUCAUAAUUUACAGAUUACUUAAUAUUCAAUAUAGGGACAUCUCAGAAACUUUCAAAGAUUGUUUCAGAGAUCGCUAUGGUGAUGAACUAAUCAUUGAACUUUGUGCUAAACACUUGAUGUUGUGUUUCUGACAGGUUACCGAGGAAGAGUUCUUGAACUAUUACUCUGGAGUUAGUGCUUCAAUUGACAAUGAUGCUUACUUUAACCUCAUGAUGGUUAACGCUUGGAAAUUAUGAAUGAUGCAGACAGUUUUUUACUCAAACAUUCCCAUUAACCAUUUUUAUUUAAAAACAUAUUUGUGAUGAUGGUUUAUAUAAGUAGGAAAAAUGGUAGUUAUUUAGAGAAUGAAAAUUUUGUCUAUUUGUUUAGAAAAAAAACAACUAUUGUAAUUCUUACAGCUCGACAUGUGUUAGAUUAAGCUACCAAUCUGUAUGCAAAAACAUGUAGUAUCGGUAUAUGCUUAUAUAAGUUUUCCUAAACCUCUCACCCUUGAAAUCUAGAUAUUUGCUACAGUAUAGCUUUCAGAUGUAGUGGAAAAUGGAGUAGAUUGCACUGUGUAGCUUUAAAAAAAAAAAAGAACGAGACUGUUGGCUAUUUUCCACUAUGACUAGAGCACUGCCUGAAACUGACGAGAACUUAGUGAGAUGUAGCAGGAGCACAAACUGUGACAGCACACGGCACAGAAAACACCAAGACAAAGACUUUUGCUUUCUGUAUUUCAGUUCUCUGUUAUUGAUUUUUGAUUUAAUUUCUUAUUCUAAUGUUUGCCAAUCACAGGGUUUGUUGAAACUGGGUAAUUUUUUCUUUAAUUUUAAUUUUUGUUUUUGUUGAAUAAAAUUUGUUAUAUUGUAUGUGCCGAUACUUUCUAUGUUAAAAGGAAGAAUUUUUGUUUACUUACUGAAUACUUGCAUUUGUUGGCAUUCACUUUGAAAGAUUUCCUACAUUUUGUGUGCUAUUUGUAUAUUUACAUAGAGUCUUGUCAGCUUGAAAUUCCCUUCAUUUUAUGAUAAGCACUUUUUAGUUCGAAUUGGAAUAGCAAUAUUUUCAUUUUUAUGGGAAAUUUAAUUAAAUUUUUUACAACAAUUUUAAUUUUUAAAGAAAUAUAAUGUCAGAUUUAUAAUGAAAAUUAAAAUUUAGACACAAAUCAAAUUUGUUGUUAUUUUCAAUAUGCAAAUGGGCAUCAUCUUGUGUAAAAGUUAGAAUGAAUUUUUAAAAACCUGCAUGAUAGAUCGAGCUUUUUUGUUUAUCGUGUUAUUUUUUAGUUGAUGCAACAAAUGACCUACCACCAUGCAUGUAAUGAAUUUGAUAAUAUAUUGCGAACAGGAGAUAGAGGGAAUUUAUCCUUUUAGUCAGUAAAAAGAAAACAAAAAAUAAAAAAAAUAUUUAAAAAAAAAA
This is an RNA transcript of Ostrea edulis (European flat oyster), 4247 nucleotides long. It is a transcript of the gene named calcyphosin-like protein, with no coding region annotated. The transcript has 5 exons. The record is from RefSeq and is a predicted model, not a curated record. NCBI's taxonomy places the organism in Eukaryota, Metazoa, Mollusca, Bivalvia, Ostreida, Ostreidae.